RNAcentral lists this ribosomal RNA (253 nucleotides) under uncultured bacterium. RNAcentral's name for it is "partial 16S ribosomal RNA". It matches the Rfam family "Bacterial small subunit ribosomal RNA", at positions 524 to 776 of the family's 1533-position model. The record is from RNAcentral.
UACGAAGGGUGCAAGCGUUACUCGGAAUUACUGGGCUUAAAGGGUGCGUAGGCGGCGCGGAAAGUUGGGUGUGAAAUCCCUCGGCUCAACCGAGGAACUGCGCCCAAAACUACCGUGCUCGAGGAAGAUAGAGGUGAGCGGAACUUACGGUGGAGCGGUGAAAUGCGUUGAUAUCGUAAGGAACACCCGUGGCGAAAGCGGCUCACUGGGUCUUCUCUGACGCUGAUGCACGAAAGCUAGGGGAGCAAACGGG